RNAcentral lists this ribosomal RNA (504 nucleotides) under uncultured bacterium. RNAcentral describes it as "bacterial SSU rRNA". It matches the Rfam family "Bacterial small subunit ribosomal RNA", at positions 107 to 607 of the family's 1533-position model. The record is from RNAcentral.
UGAGUAAUGUCUGGGAAACUGCCUGAUGGAGGGGGAUAACUACUGGAAACGGUAGCUAAUACCGCAUAACGUCGCAAGACCAAAGAGGGGGACCUUCGGGCCUCUUGCCAUCAGAUGUGCCCAGAUGGGAUUAGCUAGUAGGUGGGGUAAUGGCUCACCUAGGCGACGAUCCCUAGCUGGUCUGAGAGGAUGACCAGCCACACUGGAACUGAGACACGGUCCAGACUCCUACGGGAGGCAGCAGUGGGGAAUAUUGCACAAUGGGCGCAAGCCUGAUGCAGCCAUGCCGCGUGUGUGAAGAAGGCCUUCGGGUUGUAAAGCACUUUCAGCGAGGAGGAAGGUGGUGAGCUUAAUACGCUCAUCAGUUGACGUUACUCGCAGAAGAAGCACCGGCUAACUCCGUGCCAGCAGCCGCGGUAAUACGGAGGGUGCAAGCGUUAAUCGGAAUUACUGGGCGUAAAGCGCACGCAGGCGGUUUGUUGAGUCAGAUGUGAAAUCCCCGGG